This 528-nucleotide ribosomal RNA is filed under the name Meiosimyza affinis. RNAcentral describes it as "Lyciella affinis partial 16S ribosomal RNA". It matches the Rfam family "Bacterial large subunit ribosomal RNA", at positions 1887 to 2620 of the family's 2925-position model. The record is from RNAcentral. Lineage: Eukaryota; Metazoa; Arthropoda; Insecta; Diptera; Lauxaniidae.
GGGGUUGAAAUUUAAAAGUCUAACCUGCCCACUGAAAUUUUAAAUGGCCGCAGUAUAUUAACUGUGCAAAGGUAGCAUAAUCAUUAGUCUUUUAAUUGAAGGCUGGAAUGAAUGGUUGGACGUAAUAUUAACUGUUUCAAAAUAAUUUAAUUUAGAAUUUUAUUUUUUAGUGAAAAAGCUAAAAUUUUAUUAAAAGACGAGAAGACCCUAUAAAUCUUUAUAAUUUAUUUAUUUUAAUUGAAAAAGAAUUGUUUUAUUAUAAUAAUUUAAAUUAUUUUAUUGGGGUGAUAUUAAAAUUUAAUAAACUUUUAAUUUAUUAAAUCAUUGAUUUAUGAAUAAUUGAUCCAAUAUUAUUGAUUAUAAAUUUAAGUUACUUUAGGGAUAACAGCGUAAUUUUUUUGGAGAGUUCAUAUCGAUAAAAAAGAUUGCGACCUCGAUGUUGGAUUAAGAGAUAUAUUUGGGGGCAGCUAUUCAAAUGUUAAGUCUGUUCGACUUUUAAAUUCUUACGUGAUCUGAGUUCAGACCGGA